CUAACUGAGCAAGGACUGAAUUGUAUGAGCUGUGAAAUUUAGAGGAAAAAUGGUAAUAAACAUCUUGAACUAAAACAGUUUUGGACAGCAGCAGUAGGUUGACUUUGAAAAAUCACCAUAAAUUGUAUAAAUUGAAUUAUAGGAUGAAUAAAAUAUGAAAUUAAAGAUUAUUGAGUCUAGUUUCUUAUAGAAGAAACGGUGUAAGCAAUUGAAUUGUAAAUUAUGAGAUAUAAUGAAUUUUGUGAGACAAGGUUAGAACGAAUUCAGGUUCCCCUGUUUUGACUUUGGAAAAUCACCAAAAAUUGGAUAAAAUUAAUUAGAGGCUCAAAUUUAUAUGCUUAGAAUCUUUAAUGAGUCUAUUUUCAAUAGAAAUCAAUGGGAACAUUAUCCGAGUUCUGUACUGUGAUAUAAUUAAUUUUUAGUGAAGAGAGGUCAGAACCGUAGGAUAGUGAAACAGGGGAAAAUUAAAAGAAUAAACUGUACUAAUUGGCUAAACCAAAAAUUCUGAAAAUUUUAUGGUGGAAUGAUAUGUGAGUCUAGUUUCAGGGAAAAUUUACGGAUCUUAAUUUCGAGGUCUGUAGCUCGAAUUAUAAAUGAUUGAGUGACUAUGACUCGUGUGAACAGCUUGAUGUGAGCAUUAAUAAGUAAAUUGUGAAAUUGUACUUACAAGAAUGUUAUAUACAUUAAGGAUGUGGAAUGGAGAGGAGGAGGAGGAAAAACAAAUGAUAUAUGUUUAUAAGAAAACAGUAUGAGAAUGAUACAUAUCAUGACAUGUAUAUAUAUGACUAGUUUCAAUAUGAUGCUUGUUGGGUAUGAAGUUGGAUUGAAAUGUCUAAGGCAAGUAUUUUAUUCCGCGCAUCUGAAAUGUGGUAUUUUAUAAAGAUAUGAUCUAGCUUUAAAUAUAUAUGCCUGAUGAUUAAGCUGAAAAUAUUUGGUAAGAUGAUAAUCAUGGUAUAAAAGUAUAAGUGGUACCAUA
This 976-nucleotide long non-coding RNA is filed under the name Gossypium barbadense (sea-island cotton). RNAcentral describes it as "long non-coding RNA (GBAR_LNC003638)". The record is from RNAcentral. Lineage: Eukaryota; Viridiplantae; Streptophyta; Magnoliopsida; Malvales; Malvaceae.